AGUCACGACGCAUAUCAAUAAGCGGAGGAAAAGAAACCAACAGGGAUUGCCCCAGUAACGGCGAGUGAAGCGGCAAGAGCUCAAAUUUGAAAGCUGGCUCCUUCGGGGUCCGCAUUGUAAUUUGCAGAGGAUGCUUCGGGAGCGGUCCCCAUCUAAGUGCCCUGGAACGGGACGUCAUAGAGGGUGAGAAUCCCGUAUGGGAUGGGGUGUCCGCGCCCGUGUGAAGCUCCUUCGACGAGUCGAGUUGUUUGGGAAUGCAGCUCUAAAUGGGUGGUAAAUUUCAUCUAAAGCUAAAUAUUGGCCGGAGACCGAUAGCGCACAAGUAGAGUGAUCGAAAGAUGAAAAGCACUUUGAAAAGAGAGUUAAAAAGCACGUGAAAUUGUUGAAAGGGAAGCGCUUGCGACCAGACUCGCUCGCGGGGUUCAGCCGGCAUUCGUGCCGGUGUAUUUCCCCGCGGGCGGGCCAGCGUCGGUUUGGGCGGUCGGUCAAAGGCCCUCGGAAGGUAACGCCCCUAGGGGCGUCUUAUAGCCGAGGGUGCAAUGCGACCUGCCUAGACCGAGGAACGCGCUUCGGCUCGGACGCUGGCAUAAUGGUCGUAAGCGACCCGUCUUGAAACACGGACCCCUGUGUGAAAUUGU
Molecule: ribosomal RNA, 638 nt
Filed under: Penicillium sp. QQ-2008
Lineage: Eukaryota; Fungi; Ascomycota; Eurotiomycetes; Eurotiales; Aspergillaceae
Description: eukaryotic LSU rRNA
Rfam family: Eukaryotic large subunit ribosomal RNA
Source: RNAcentral